This is an RNA transcript of Vicia villosa (hairy vetch), 6710 nucleotides long. It is a transcript of the gene named DELLA protein RGL1-like, with no coding region annotated. NCBI's taxonomy places the organism in Eukaryota, Viridiplantae, Streptophyta, Magnoliopsida, Fabales, Fabaceae. The transcript has 4 exons. The record is from RefSeq and is a predicted model, not a curated record.
ACCUUCAUCCGUUACAUUUUGUUCUCUCCAAUUUAUCAGUACAUAUUUAUUUAUUUAUUUUUGCAUAAAUUGUGUCUUAUUUCCCCCAAAAAUGACAUUUUGGUUUAGCAAGAAUUAGUGUAAAUUUAUUUAAUGAAAAAAAUCGAUACAUGUUUACUUUUUGCUGGGUAACAUGUGAUGGUAAAUGUUAAGCUGUAAAAAAUGGCAUGAUCAUGUUGUCAUGGUCUUGUUUUUUGCAACCCCGGUAAGACUUCUGCAGCUAUUUCACAUAUGAUUGAAGAAAGUCCUGAAGAUGUUGUAUUGAAAAGGAUAGACUCAGCAUUGUGUAUGGAGAUGAAUCUUUGCCUCGACAUUAUGAAAAUUCUCCAACAACUUCUUCUAAACAGCUUACUUCGCAACACUUGGUAAAUAUUGUUUUUGGUUGUAUGCUGUUCAUUAUCAUCUAAUAAAUCCUGUAACUUAUCAAAUUUUUGUUUCUCUUGGUCCAUUUCUACUGAACCCAUUGGCAAUGGUUGCGUCAUUAUGGGGGCCGAGAAAGGAAAUAUUGUCAUCGAAAGUGUGCUCUUUAAAGAGUUUUCUCAACCAGGUUGACACAUUUGGGAUUGUUGAGCAGGUGAUGGUAGAUGUGACCAAUCAGGCUACCUUAGACAUUAACUUAGCAACAAGUCACAAAUGGUUAUAUGCUCCGGUACAAUUUUUUUCGGGGCUUGAUUCACAAAGGGCUGCAUCCUUACGGAGAUGGUCAACUCAAGGUUUUCAGGAUCUUCAUAAGCCACACGAAAAACAAAGUCACCAUAUCUUCUACAUGAUUUCAUGUGAGUGUGAAGAAAAACUCUCAGAAGUUAAAGUAGUCAAGGUUUAAGUGUGCGAAGUUAGGGCUCAACAUGCAAAAUGUGAGCUUGAAUUUGGAAUGAUUGAUUCCUUUCGGAGGUAAGAUUAUGCUUUAAAGAGAUAAUCCAUUUAUCUGAUAGGCUAAAUGAUGAGAUUAAUAAGUACUGCUACCAAAUUUCUUGAUUUGUAAACACAUUGAAAUGAAAAGUGACGAGAACUACUUUUUAUCCUAUUACCAAGAAUAUCGAAAAUACUUAACUAGUGUGAUAUUAAGAAAGCAAGCGAGAAAGAGCUAUUAAACAACCAGAGCACUGUUCAUCCAAGAUUUAAAAACAUGAAAGUCGAUGAAGCAAGAAGGUUUGUCCGUGUUAUUUCUUAUCAUCUAUUUAGUAACUUAAUGUUAUUCAUUGUGUUGUAAAGACGCUGACCAACCAUUAGACAAAGGUAAUGAUUAGUCGGUGUAUUUACACAGGAGUAACAUUAAAUUACUAAUGGUAAAGAAUAACAUGAAUAAACCUUCAUUGCUUCAUUGACAUUAAUGUUUCUGAAUCUUGAAAGAACAAUGCUCUAUGUCUUGAAAUAAUUUGUUAACCGCUCUUUCCCGCCUGCCUUCUUAACCACUCUUUUCCACUUGCCCCGUAUUUCCGAUCUUCUUAGUAAUAAGAUAAAAUAAAAAGUAGCUCUCAUCGUUUCUCAUUUUUUUGUCUUUAUAAACAAGAAAAAAUGUCCCUCCUUCAACUGUACUCCUUCCUUCGUAUGUAGACUCCCUCAUACAUCGUAUCGUAUAUAGACUCCCUCAUACAUUUUAAGUAUAAGUUCAAGGCAUGAGAAAGUCGGGUGAAUUUAAUGAUAUUUUUGUCCCACAAAACCUGCAAACACAAAGUAAUUGUUAACCGAUUUCUUUGCCACUCAAGGAAUAAUAUUAAGAUACCAUAUUGGAUGAGCAGUGUUUCGUGGCUUGAGAUGCUUUUUUAACAUUUCUUUUCCAUUUCACUUUCCUUACAAACCAAGAAAGUUUGAUAGGUACCUGUUCUUAUGGAUUAACUUGCUUUAUACAUGAGUAUGUCACCUUCACUUAGAUUAUUAGAUAAAUGAAAUAUCUUUCUAAAGUUAUCUGCAUAGUCUUGAAAGAAUCAGAUUAUUUCGUAUUCACAUUUUGCACGUGGAGCUUUAACUUCGGAAACUUCAACCUUGACAAUUUUAUCUUUUGUUUCCGUCCCAAGAAAGUAUACCGAAAACAAUGGGAGGGGAGUAAGGAUUUAGGGCUAGGGUUUUUGCGCUAUCUGUAAAUAUUCAACUCAAGUUAUGAGGUUGCAGCUUUUUUCCGCACAUGCCCUUUUGUGGCAGCAUUGGCUUUCACUUCAAGUUCAUUGAGAUGGAUUACCUUAUCAAGGUAGGUUACCAAUCAACUACUUUCUUGUGAACUCAUCAUCAUAUAUGUUUAUUCAAUUUGGUUAUCAUGGUAUGAUUUUGACGUUAAUAAGAGGUCAAUGACAUAACAGAGGCAUCAAAGUCUUUCAAGCCAUUAUAAUCUAUGGUUGAUCAUGAUGUAGAAACUAAUUCUGUAAGAAUACAAGGGAGUCAUUCAAAAAAUCUUUUGAAAAUAAAAUGUGGGAUUUGUUCUAUAGUUGGUGAGCUCCAAGACUCGUCUCAGAGGAAUAAAAUAAAAAUAAAAAAGUGAACAUGGAAAAUUGGAUAAACAUAAAAAAAGACUCACUUACAAUUCUUCAAGUUUGUUGUAUGGAGAGAGUGUUUAUGGACCAACAUUGAUUCUUGGGUCAACCUCAAUAAUAUCGUCUUUUUUGUUUAAUCCUUUUACAAUUUUGUUUAGUUUGGUAAUACUUAACAAUUAUGGUAAAUUAAGUUCCAAUAUGUGUUUUGAUAGGGGAAAUUCUAUGAGAGAUGCAGUUUCUAAGGCUUACACACAAAUAUUUAAUUCAUAUCAUGGUUGGACUAUCAUAAAGGUUGUUUCUGUAAGAUUAAAUUAUAUUCCUACAAAGCAACAACUAGCAUGAGUUUAAACAUGUACUUAAAGCUUAAAACUUUCAGUAUUGUAGUUAUGAUGUUAACAAUAUUUUUGUUAUUGUAUAGAGUUUGCAGCAAAGGUCCUGAUGGAAAUCGGCAUCCCUGCAUCGGCAUCCCCACCUCUGCUCUGAUAUAGUGAGAAGAUCUUUCUUGAAAGAGAAUCGGGUAUAGAUUGGUGAACCUUCUGAAUGAUUGUGUUUUGAUUGAUUUGAAUACAUGUAAUAGAGAACUUUUGUUGUUUGGAUUCCUUUAUACACAAAUUUUUUUUUGGUUUGUGACAAUCAUUUUCGAUGUUUUGAAACAAACUGAUGCUCAUUGUAUACGAAUAGUCCCUUCCAUGUUCUGAGGGUGCUGUUGGACAAGGAUAAUUUGGUAUAGUUUUCGAUGUUAGUCCCUUCCUUGUUCUUUCAUUUGCACCUUGCAAUUGGAUACAGUUUGAAGUAAACUGAUGCUUAUUGUAUUCUUUUUCAUUUACCGUGCAGGCAAAGCAAAAAGCUGGGAGACAGGUGAAACUUUGGCUAUAAAAAAGAAUCACUGAUGGGGGCUGGAGGCGUAAUUCUUCCACCUUCAACUUAUUUUGAAAAGGAUGCCGACAUUGGAGAUGAAAUGGAUGAAGCCGUUAUCGGAGAUGAAAUGGACGACUUUAUUGUGGAUGAAGAAGAAAUCUAAUAGUCUCUGAGAGGAAAUAUGUUAAUCGAAGAGGAUGAACAUGUAAUUCAAAUUGAGGAUGGAUUUGGUGAAAGUUCAGUCCCUAGUUCAAAAAGAAUAAAAAUUUCUAUGAUAAAUUUUUUGAAAAGUUUGUUGAUGAUAAAGGACUAUCAAAGACCAAAAAUUGUGGUAAAUCUCCUUGCCUAGAGAUGGUGACACUUCAAAUUUAAUAAGCAUGAGUUGAAGAAAUAUGUUGGAGGAGGGAAUAUAUCCUCUUAUUUGCCGCUAGAUCAGGAAAAGUAUAGAGAAAAGAUUUGAGGUAAUUGUCAAACCCAAUUAUUCUUUUACUUUUGUUGAACAUGAAGAUAUGAUGGACUUACAUUGUUUUUUGCAUUGUGAUGUUAAGUUAAUUUCUGCGAAGUUUGAUGUUCUUAAGUUGUAUAGAAAAGAAAAAGAAAAUUUAAAAUUCUAUUUACAAUCCAUUUAAAAAAAAAAUUGUUUAACAUUCGAUCUAUGGUCUGCAAUAAAUAAAAUUAGUAUGUGGUGUUGACUACACUUUUUGUUAAUAGGAAUUGGCCGUUAGAGAAAAGUAUUAUCCUUCAUUCGUUUUCCACCACCUUAUACCAGUUUUCGUUUGUCUGAAUAGUUAAUAAGUAUGUUAAAGAAGUGACGUAUUGAGAAAAAAAAAAUUUACAUUUACUUUAGACAAUGCAUCUUAUAAUAAUGUUAUGGUAAAUAUUUUGAAAAAACAUCUAUUACAUGAGUUAUGAUUGAUAGCUGAAAGAACAUGUUUUCAUGUAAGAUGUAGAGUACACAUCUUAAACUUAAUUGUUUAUGAUGGUUUAAAUAUGAUAGAUGAAUCUUUGUAUAAAAUUCGAUUGUGUGUGGAUCCCAGAUAUAGAAGAGGUUCAGAGGGUCGAAAGUUAAAGUUUGCAUCUUGAUUUUUAAACAAGUUCGUCGAGACAUGUCUAUUAGAUGAAAUUUCACAUAUCUGAUGCGAUGAUUGAGGUUGCUAUAGGUCAACGAGAAGUCUUUACCGUCAUAAGCAAUAUUUAUCCCUACUUUGAUCUUUGUUUAUCAAAGAUGGAAUGGAUCAAGGUAAAAAUCAUAGCCACAAUGAGGAAAACCUACAAAGUGCUAUGAUUUUUGUCUCAAUCCGCUCCUCAUUUUAUAAACAAUGAAAGUAGUAAUUAAUAUCGCUUAUAAGUGUAAAGGUUUCCCGUUGACCUAUAAAAGUUUUAUAAGUGGAAUUCAACCUAUUAGGCAUGUCUUGACAAACAUAAAUCACAUUUGAGAGUUCUUUAAACAAGAUGCAAACUUUAACUUUCAGGCCUCUUAUAUAUUUCACGCACAAUCAAAUUUUAUUUAAGAUACAUCUAUCACCUUUAAACCUUUAAGAACAAUUAAAUUUAAGAUAUAUGUUCCACAUCUAACCUUCAACUAUCAAUCCUAAUCCAAUCCUAAUCAUGUAAUAGAUAUUUCUUCAAAAUAUUCACCAUAACAUAAGACGAGUUGUCUAAGUAAUUGGGAAUAUUUUUUCUCAAUACCCUACUCUUUUGAUAGACUUAUUAACUACUUAGACAAAUAAAAAUUGGUAUGCUGGGGUGGAAAAUGAACGAAGAAUAAUACAUUUUUUUUCAAUAACUCAAUUCUUAUUAACAAAAUGUGCAAUCAAUGUCAUAUAUUGAUUUAUAUUUGUUGCAUAUCAUAGAUCGAAUGUUAAUAGGAUUUUAAGUAUUUUUUUUUCUUUACGACUUAAGAACAUCAACUUCACAAUGUUUAUAAAAGUUGACUUAGUAUCAGAGUGCAAAAACAAUGUAAGUCAACUAUCCAUCCUUUCAUAUUUAAUAAAAGUAAAAGGAUAAUUGAACUUGACAACUAUCUCAUAAAUUGUUUCUCUAUACUUUUGUUGAUCUGGUGGCGGAUAAGAAGAUAUAUUUCCUUCACCAACAUAUUUUACCUCAUGUUUUUAUUAAAUUUGAAGUGCACCAUCAUCUCUAGCCAUAUAAAUUUUAUCAUAAUUUUUGCAUUGGACAAUCUUUGUCAUCAAUUAACUUUUCAAAAACUCCCAAGCCAUAGAGUUUUUAUUUUUUUUUGAACUAGGGAUUGAACUUUCAUCAACUUCAUCCUCAACUUGAAUUAAAGGAUCAUCCUCUUCGGAAGACAGAUUUCCUAAAAUUUGACAAUGAUGAAUGUGAAUUUUGAAUGGAUCUAGAAAAGCACUUAGGAAUGUUAAAAUCAAGUAAAUUCGAAAUGUUAAUAGUUCUAUAUCUAUGUUGUAGAGUAUUGAAGAAUAAACAGGCAAAUAUCACCUGCUGCAAUGUCGAACAUUAUUAGUAACAUUACACAUCACAUUACAUAACACGCAAGAUGCUCCCAUUCACACAAAGGUAACCACAUGCCCAUUAUCAUCAUACAUCAUGACAAAGAACUAUAUAGGUAUAAAUACGAUUUUAUGUCAUAGCAACAAUAUCAAUACAUGUAACAAAAAAAAUACCAAUACAUGUAAUCAAAAAGAAAAAACAAUAUCAAUAUAUCAUCACGAGUAACACACUUGUACAUUCUAGAAAUAUCACACUAGUGUACAAAAACAAUAGAAAAUGUUUAAAUGAUUGAAUUUCACACUGCAAUCAAACAAAAAAACAAAGUAGUCUUUAAUAAAUAACACCGUUGAUUUGAAGCUCAAACCCAUAACAAAUAAGUAGUGACUAAUCAAGUAGUGUGUAACUCAAUUGGUUUCAGCUAGAUAUCUAUAAGGAGUUGGUCUAAUUCAAUCUUUAACAACAUUUUUUUAAAAUAUUUUUUUAUUAUGUGUUAAUGCAAACAAAUUAUUAAUACUUAUUAAUGAUCCUCAAUCAUAAACAAUUCCUUAGAACAUUAAAAAAUAGUUAGGACACUCCUUAUUUUCCUCGAAACAGUCAAUCAAUCAUGUAAAUAAUACUCAAUGUGUCACUUAUCAUAGCUUGUUUGGAUUUUAUUAUGUGUUUCCAUAACGACAAGUUUAUACAUAAUUCAAUACUAAUCUGUCCAUUUUAUAAUUGCUGGCUGAUGACUGCAAUGGACACAAAACAUAGAAAAAAUCACCAUCAACCUUACAAGUUCCUUCCUCGUUAGUAUAUUUCAUCAUAUCAUAUUCAAACAUUUAUAUUCUAUUCACACGUUAUCUAUAAAAUACAACUUUUUCACCUUAAUAAUAAUGCUUGCAC